CAGAGGGUGCAAGCGUUGUUCGGAAUUACUGGGCGUAAAGCGCGUGUAGGCGGCUUUUCAAGUCUCGUGUGAAAGCCCUGGGCUCAACCCAGGAAGUGCGCGAGAUACUGACGAGCUGGAGUAGCGGAGAGGAUGGCGGAAUACCCGGUGUAGAGGUGAAAUUCGUAGAUAUCGGGUGGAACACCUGUGGCGAAGGCGGCCAUCUGGACGUUCACUGACGCUGAGACGCGAAAGCGUGGGUAGCAAACAGGAUUAGAUACCCUGGUAGUCCACGCUGUAAACGAUGGAUGCUGGAUGUCACGGGUAUUGACCCCUGUGGUGUCGACGCUAACGCAUUAAGCAUCCCGCCUGGGGAGUACGGCCGCAAGGUUA
RNAcentral lists this ribosomal RNA (372 nucleotides) under uncultured organism. Its description in RNAcentral is "bacterial SSU rRNA". It matches the Rfam family "Bacterial small subunit ribosomal RNA", at positions 526 to 896 of the family's 1533-position model. The record is from RNAcentral.